This is a non-coding RNA of Pelodiscus sinensis (Chinese soft-shelled turtle), 533 nucleotides long. The record is from RefSeq and is a predicted model, not a curated record. NCBI's taxonomy places the organism in Eukaryota, Metazoa, Chordata, Testudines, Trionychidae.
CGCUAUAGAUGAUGGAGUCCUCUGCACAAAAAGGGUUAUUAUCAAACUGCUUUAAUAAGUAUCCUCCUCAUGUAUUAUUUAAAAGUGAUAAUUAAUUAAUUAAUUAAAGUGAGCACCAAUUGAGAGAACACAGAGUCACUCUAGAUACUGGCUGUGGCAAAAAGCUCCUAUUUGCACAUGGAUAUUGUUCACCAAAGACAGCCCAGUUGCUUGAUUUUGGACCUCUCCAGGUGGAGCUACAGAAAUAUACACCAGUUGAGCUUCUGGCCACACAUCCAUUAACUGAUGCCAACACACCUCAACUGAAGAAAUUUGGUACUUUUAUAAAGCAGCAGGAUUUACAGCCUCUUUCUGCAAUCAAACAGGCCUGUAUAUGCACUGAUGAGCUCAACAUGUCUUCACCAUUCCAGCACCAGGAUGGAUAAUUCUCACUUCACAUGAGUUUUGUCGCGAGAAUCACAGGUCCGAUGAUAAAUACCCAAGGGGAGACGGACAGAACCAGGUGGACAGUUUUAUCAAAUAAAAAAUAUUGA